UGCUGGAGAAGUCCAGAGCGAGCUUCCAGCUGCCUGAUGAAAGAGGCUACCACAUCUUCUACCAGAUGAUGCCCAACUACAAACCUGAACUUGUUGGUGAGCCACUGCAGAUCUUAAAGGAAUAAUAUGAUUGAGCAUUUGCUCCUUAGUCCUCUUACUCUCAUUGAGAGUGCAACAUUUCACCUUUUUACCUUUAACUAGCUUCAGGUGAUUAUCAUUUUAGUUUGGUGUCUCCACAGAAAUGGCACUCAUUACCACCACCCCAUGAUCAGCCAGGGUCAGAUCACUGUGGCCAGUAUUGAUGACACAGUUGAGCUUGAUGCCACAGAUGAUGCUAUUGAUAUCUUGGGCUUUAAUGCACUUCAAGCAGAAGUAGCGUCAGAAGAAGGCUGAGCCAGAUAGCCCAGAUGUGGUUGAUCAUUAUCUGCCCUCCUGUCAGUCCCUACUGCCCUCCAGUCUGCCAGAGCUGCUUCAAGGUCAUCCGUCAUCAUCCUGCUGGAGUUAUCUGCAGCAUUUGAUACGGUCAACCAUCAG
Osmerus eperlanus (European smelt) is the source of this 534-nucleotide long non-coding RNA. RefSeq lists it as uncharacterized. The transcript is spliced from 3 exons. NCBI's taxonomy places the organism in Eukaryota, Metazoa, Chordata, Actinopteri, Osmeriformes, Osmeridae. The record is from RefSeq and is a predicted model, not a curated record.